GCCGAAGUGGCGAAAUUGGUAGACGCGCUACGUUCAGGUCGUAGUCUUUCAUCAGGUGCAGGUUCGACUCCUGUCUUCGGUA
This 82-nucleotide transfer RNA is filed under the name bacterium. Its description in RNAcentral is "tRNA-Leu". It matches the Rfam family "tRNA". Rfam says of the family: Transfer RNA (tRNA) molecules are approximately 80 nucleotides in length. Their secondary structure includes four short double-helical elements and three loops (D, anti-codon, and T loops). The record is from RNAcentral.